ACUCCUACGGGAGGCAGCAGUGGGGAAUAUUGGGCAAUGGGCGAAAGCCUGACCCAGCAACGCCGCGUGAAGGAAGAAGGCUUUCGGGUUGUAAAGCUCUGUCUUUGGGGACGAUAAUGACGGUACCCAAGGAGGAAGCCACGGCUAACUACGUGCCAGCAGCCGCGGUAAU
Molecule: ribosomal RNA, 172 nt
Filed under: uncultured bacterium
Lineage: Bacteria
Description: partial 16S ribosomal RNA
Rfam family: Bacterial small subunit ribosomal RNA
Source: RNAcentral